RNAcentral lists this long non-coding RNA (4425 nucleotides) under Sus scrofa (pig). Its description in RNAcentral is "lncRNA (ENSSSCG00050015954.1)". Lineage: Eukaryota; Metazoa; Chordata; Mammalia; Artiodactyla; Suidae. The record is from RNAcentral.
GCCAGUCUGUCCUCUGCAGUGUAGGUGGCAAAGUAAGGUGAUUAAUUAUGCACAAGUCGUGAUUUCUGGUGUCACAUUCCAGUCCUACUGUAUUUUUAAAGCUUUGUGACAGCUGCCAGCCUACGCCACAGCCACAGCCAUGUGGGAUCCGAGCUGCAUCCUCAACCCACGCCACAGCCUGUGGCAACACCAGAUCCUUAACCCACUGAGCGAGGCCAGGGAUGGAACCCACAUCCUUGUGGACGCUGCUCGGCCCUCCGGAAACUUAGGUGAACGCCAGCUUGGAAUUUUGUCCCAUCCCCCUGCCGCGGGCCGAAUGAUGGUGUCUCCUCCAAAUUCAUGUGUUGAAGCUCUAACCCCCGUGUGUGGGUGUUUGCAGGUGGCCUCUGGUAGGUGACAGGGAUUAGAUGGGGCGGUGAGGGAGGGGCCGCCCUGAUGGGACCAGGGUCCUCCUAAGAAGAGACACCAGACAGCUUGCUCCUCCCCCCUGCCCCACGUGAGGAGCCGGCUGCCACCCUGCCAGGGGCAGAGGGCUCUCACCGGGCACUGAAUCCACCUAUGGCGUGAUCCUGGACUUCCUGCCUCCAGAACUGUGAGAAAUCAAUGUUUGUCAUUUAAGCCAGCCCGCCUCCCCCCACCCCCACUUCCCGCCUCAGUUCUGUGCCCUGAUCCCCAGCCCGGGCCCCUCCGAGGGCUGUUCCCUCUGGGAAGUCUCAGCCCCCUGGGGCCCAGGAUCGGAUAUUAGCCCAAGCCUCUGCCCCUUCCCAGCUGCCCUGCCUUCGGGAUGAUGUCCAGAUUCUGACGGUCCUGCAGGUCCUGGCAGGUUGUGACCGACCUGCUGUCCCGCCUGAGCUGUCACCCCUGCUCCUGUCACAGCACUCCUGACCGACCUGCUUGCUGCUCCACAGAGUUCUCUCCCGUUCGGGGUGGGGGUUUGCUUCUGUCCAUCCUGCUCUCGGGGGCUCCCUUCAUCCUCCUUUCGUGGCCUGGUCCUUCUUUGUCCCCAAUCUCAAAUGUCACUUCUGCUAAAAUCUCCCCUGGCCCACCUGGGCCCCCUCUCCCCAGAGUCUCCCCUUCAGAGCCACAAGCACCAGGCUGGGCUGCCUCCUGGUCGAAUCCUUUGAGCUUUGCAGCCCCUGCGGCGGCCCCGCCAGGGGAGCUUUCAUCACAGACCGGGCCUGGCAGGUGGGGCCAUGUCCAGGGGGCAGAUGGCCCUGCCCCCACUAGGACACCAGGGUAGAGGCUCUCCGAGCGUGGACCAUGAUAUCAGUGCCACUGGGACGGUCACGGGUGAAGAUUCUCAGACCUCAUCCAGGCCGGUGAAUCAGAAGCCCCGGGGAGGUGUGCUCCUGCAAGCCCCCCAGGGGCUUCUGAUGCCGGCCAGGUAUGAGAGCCCCGGGCCGGGAGAGAACUGCCAGGAUGAGCUGCCGCCCCCUUGGCAGCCUCCCCUGUCCCCUGUGCACUCAGGUCUCCACGUCAGCAUCCGAAGCCUCUGUGUCCUGAAGGCGCAGUCCGAGGAGCCGGUUUGCCACCAAAGCUUAAAGCCAGGUGUCAAUAAACCCACUGGGGACCAGGCCGGACGAACUUUGGAAGAAAAGGUGCUGCGUGCCCUUCAGCAGUUCCAGCGAAAGGCCCAUCAGUUGGUGCCUCGGUCCCCUGGGCUUCCAGCCAAGCACACCUGACUGGAUUAAUGAGCAUCUGGUUGGGGAAGAAAAGGAGCCAGAGGCGGCAGGUGAAAGUCCCAGUUGGAGCCGUGUGGACACUGCCUGGGAUCCUGGUGCAGGGGCUUGUUACUUUAUGAGGCCUGGACAUGGCAUCUGUCAUGUUCAUGGACCCAUAAUCUGCUAUUGCCAGAAAGGAGCCCCGAAGGGUCACUUUGCGCUGUUUUUGAAAUUACAGUUGAAGACAAAGGUCUCAGCCACUCCCGUCUCCCUGCGUCCUGAGCGGACAUCUGCCCUGGGAGUGGGGUUUGAGCUCGGCCAGGCACCCCUGGCCUCAGCAGAGAUGCUCUUGGAGGCCGGAGGAGAGGGGGAGCCUCUCACUGGGAGCUCGGGCCCCCCAGGGCUGACCUGCCCCUCCCUGCUCUCCCCUAGGCUGGCAGUAAGGGUGCAGGGGUGCUGGAGAGUCACCGAGGGGUUAUGCUGCCUCCAAGUCCGCCCCAGUUGUUGGAGGCUUCCCAGGAAUUUGGGGGCACAUAGCUCUUUGUAUUCUUGGGGUUUUGUCCAAUUCUUGAGCAAAGGGGAAAUUUGCACCCCGUGGCCACCCCAUCCAGCAUUUGCAAGGCUAAGCAAUAAAAAACUCGGGGUCCAGUCUCUGCUCUCCUCCAAAAAGCCCAUGGACAGGGCCCCCUGGGGGAUAAAUGCACAGAGUACAGCAGCCCCCAGCCUCAAUUUUCCAAACAUAAAGUGUCAGGUAACCAUAUGACUUAUUUUCCAAAGCAGGACAUUUGUGAGAGAAGCGGGGGACACCAUUCACCAGCAAGAACAGCAGCAUAAGCCGGCGUGAACUCCAACCAUCCUGGGCAAGUGCCCGGGGGUCCCCUGGCUUGGAACCAGUUGAAGCUGAUUAUGAGAGAUUCCACUGUCAUGCUGCAACCAAGCAAAAACACAAUAUGCACAGUUGCUAGAAAAGUCACCCCUCCGUUGACUGUUGUCUGUGUGCAUCAGAAAGGUGAUGCCACAGACCUGUGGUGAGGGCAAGGUGGAAUGAGACAAGAGUGACAGUUUGGCGUGGAGGGUGGCAUUUGGCUACGUAAGGACACAGCGCGGACCCAAUUACAACUGAGGCCAGAGCCAUUAUAUCCCAGGGUCAAAACGGGGACCCUGCUGUUCCCCUGCUCCAAGCCUCUAAGCAGCUCCCCAUGGUUGACUGAGAGAAGCAGGCCACCUGCACUGAAGACUUGCUCUCCGGGCCCCAUCCUGGAAGCACAGGCCUCCUCCCAGCUGGCCUCCAGGAUGUCUCACCCCUGCGCCUCUGCUCCAUGGUGUAUGGAAGUUCCCAGGCUAGGGGUUGAAUUGAAGCUGCAGCUCAGACUCAGCCAGAUCUGAGCCACAUCUGCCACCAACACCACAGCUCACGGCAACACUGGAUCCUUAACCCACUGAGCAAGGCCAGGGAUACUAGUUGGGUUCGUUACUACCGAGCCACCACGGGAGCUCCAGGUGAUCCUUUUGAGGAAAGGAAUUGAGGUUAUUUAAUUGGGGGAGGGUCAGGAGUGCCUGAGCCCCGUCUUGACGUGGUUAACAAGGUUGGGAAAGAUGUUGUCUGCUCGUCUCCUGUUUUUGCAAAAAGCCACUCAGAUUGAGUUCCAGGAAGGACUGUCUUGCAUGAUGACACAUUUCGGCCGGGUCCCUAUUCGUGACAGACCCAGGGGAGCAAGCUAGAUUCUGGGGCGAAGCGGCUAAUUCCAACUGGGACAGGGGACUUCAGAUGCCAGCCUCCUCUCUGAAGGGGACGCUGGGACAGUCUGGGGAGAGAAACCCGAGGCCUUCGGUUUGUGAACAAGCUGGCGGGAACCUCCAGGACGAAGGUGUGGCGAGCGGCCCAGGACAGGGAGGCAGGAAUCUAAAGCUGAUGCGACAGAGACUCGACCCUCUGCUCUGUUCUGCUUGAAGGUGGGUGGGCGACAGCUGUGGCAGGGGGACACCACUGGACAGACAGGCACUCUCGUGAUCCUCAGCGCCUUGGAGCCUAGAGGGGCAGGGAGGGUCCCGUCGGGGCCAGAUGUCCUUAAGAAGAGACAGAAAAAGAACCUCUGCGUGCCCACUACAGGACGGAAGUCGCCUCCCUCCCCUCCUUCCUUCCCUCCGAUUCAUUCAUUCAUUCCUUCGACCUGAGCCUCGGUGCUGUGGCAGCUGCCAGCACAGAAGCAGAGCAGGGAAAGAUGAGAGGCGAGGCGGAUGAACAAGUGCAUUGUGGGACCGUAUGGUAAGUUCUAGGAGAGAGGCAAGCCUGGGGCAGGGGGCUUCCACCAGCCCGGGAGCAUGGGGUCUGGGAAACCAGACUUCCUGGGGAGAGGGGCCUUAAAGAUGAUGGGGGUGGUGGGCGACUAUAGCAGCCACGCCCCCGAUGGUAGGUGCAGGUGCUGCUCCCUGCAGGGGACAUGCCUUCCAUGGUCUGCCUUCCCUGCUCCUUUUCCAGCCGUGGGCACUACCGCUCUCUCUUUGGGAGUUUGUGCACAGGGUGGGGAACUCAAGCCGAGAGAAGAGGGGAGGGGCCCCAGGGGAGGGGCAGGGAAGAGCCCCGCUGGGUACCUGACGACAGGUGUUCAGGAAGGACUUCAGGCCGGGCUGCAUCCGGAGGACUCCGGAGGAUGGAGCUGACCCUGCGGGCUGCGGUGCUCCUUGCAGGAAAAGGCGGGGGGUCAGUGGCGAUCUUGAAGCCAGUGGGUGACGAGGUAUGGGUCACUCUUCAGAGAGGUGCGUG